UGAGUAACACGUGGGUAACCUGCCCAUCAGAAGGGGAUAACACUUGGAAACAGGUGCUAAUACCGUAUAACAAUCGAAACCGCAUGGUUUUGAUUUGAAAGGCGCUUUCGGGUGUCGCUGAUGGAUGGACCCGCGGUGCAUUAGCUAGUUGGUGAGGUAACGGCUCACCAAGGCCACGAUGCAUAGCCGACCUGAGAGGGUGAUCGGCCACAUUGGGACUGAGACACGGCCCAAACUCCUACGGGAGGCAGCAGUAGGGAAUCUUCGGCAAUGGACGAAAGUCUGACCGAGCAACGCCGCGUGAGUGAAGAAGGUUUUCGGAUCGUAAAACUCUGUUGUUAGAGAAGAACAAGGAUGAGAGUAACUGUUCAUCCCUUGACGGUAUCUAACCAGAAAGCCACGGCUAACUACGUGCCAGCAGCCGCGGUAAUACGUAGGUGGCAAGCGUUGUCCGGAUUUAUUGGGCGUAAAGCGAGCGCAGGCGGUUUCUUAAGUCUGAUGUG
This 503-nucleotide ribosomal RNA is filed under the name Enterococcus durans. Its description in RNAcentral is "bacterial SSU rRNA". It matches the Rfam family "Bacterial small subunit ribosomal RNA", at positions 107 to 596 of the family's 1533-position model. The record is from RNAcentral. Lineage: Bacteria; Bacillati; Bacillota; Bacilli; Lactobacillales; Enterococcaceae.